UCGAAAAUACCCUCAAUUUAUUUAUUUUUUCUGUUCUUCCCUCCCAAGUAAUAAACUUUACUGGGGGUAGUAAUGUGUCCAAGUCGUUAGAUUUACUUGUUCUGCAGCCUAACACAUACUUUACUAGGGGUAGUAAAGUUUCCAGAACCUUAGUUUUUGUUGUUCUGCACCCUAGAACAUACUUUACUAGGGGUAGUAAUGUUUCCAGAGCAUAAAAAAACACAACUAAGAGGGUAGUAAUGUUGUUCUGCACCCAGUAAUAAACUUUACUGGGGGUAGUAAUGUUUCCAAGUCAUCAGAUUUACUUGUUUUGCAGCCUAACACAUACUUUACUAAGGGUAGUAAUGUUUCCAGAGCAUAAAAAAACACAACUAAAGGGGGUAGUAAUGUUGUUCUGCACCCAGUAAUAAACUUUACUGGGGGUAGUAAUGUUUCCAAGUCGUUAGAUGUACUUGUUCUGCAGCCUAACACAUACUUUACUAGGGAUAGUAAAGUUUCUAGAACCUCAGUUUUUGUUGUUUUGCACCGCCAAGGCCAUCGAGGGCGCCUUCACCCCCGGCCAGGUCUGCCUCAUCAUCGAGGACCUCGUCACCAUCGGCGCCUCCGUUCUUGAAACCGCCGCUCCGUGCAGCCGGGUUGAAGGUCUGCGACGCCGUCAUCUCCGAUCGGUUAGACCAGUCGCGCCGCCUCCUAGAGGAUGCGAUUGUCCUCAACCCGUCCGAUCCGUCCAUAUCCAAGCUAGAGCUCGGCGUCUUGGACGACGCCGAUCAGAGGACGAUGGCGAAGACAAUGACCAUGGAGGACGAUUGCAGGGAUGGUGAUGACGAUGGCGAGCUUGGUGUCAAGGCGGAGGCGGUGGGUUAGGCGCGGCACGGUGGCAGACAGAUUCGAGAUCAAUGGCGAAGAGAGAGAGAGAGAGAGAGAGAGAGAGAGAGAGAGAGAGAGAGAGAGAGAGAGAGAGAGAGAGAGAGAGAGAGAG
RNAcentral lists this long non-coding RNA (979 nucleotides) under Fragaria vesca (wild strawberry). RNAcentral describes it as "long non-coding RNA (FVES_LNC000517)". Lineage: Eukaryota; Viridiplantae; Streptophyta; Magnoliopsida; Rosales; Rosaceae. The record is from RNAcentral.